UCCUACGGGGCGCAGCAGUAGGGAAUUUUCGUCAAUGGGCGCAAGCCUGAACGAGCGAUGCCGCGUGAGUGAAGAAGGCCUUCGGGUCGUAAAGCUCUGUUGCGGGGGAAAAAAGGCAGCAUCAGGAAAUGGGUGCUGACUGAUGGUGCCCCGCCAGAAAGUCACGGCUAACUACGUGCCAGCAGCCGCGGUAAUACGUAGGAUGCGAGCGUUAUCCGGAUUUAUUGGGUUUAAAGGGUGCGUAGGCGGAUUUUUAAGUCAGCGGUAAAAUGUCCGGGCUCAACCCGGGCCGGCCGUUGAAACUG
RNAcentral lists this ribosomal RNA (305 nucleotides) under uncultured bacterium. RNAcentral describes it as "bacterial SSU rRNA". It matches the Rfam family "Bacterial small subunit ribosomal RNA", at positions 337 to 635 of the family's 1533-position model. The record is from RNAcentral.